CUAAGUACUAGUGCCGCAGGAGUGUUACUAAUUUCUCCUGCUGCUUCAGUGCUUAUCA
This 58-nucleotide precursor RNA is filed under the name Spodoptera frugiperda (fall armyworm). RNAcentral describes it as "partial precursor microRNA 41". It matches the Rfam family "mir-252 microRNA precursor family", at positions 9 to 70 of the family's 77-position model. Lineage: Eukaryota; Metazoa; Arthropoda; Insecta; Lepidoptera; Noctuidae. The record is from RNAcentral.